Molecule: long non-coding RNA, 987 nt
Filed under: Nicotiana benthamiana
Lineage: Eukaryota; Viridiplantae; Streptophyta; Magnoliopsida; Solanales; Solanaceae
Description: long non-coding RNA (NBEN_LNC026020)
Source: RNAcentral
AACAUUAGAAAUUCAGGUCUUAAGAGUGAAAUAGAAGGUUAGAUUGUUUUUAGAGCAUAUAGGCUAGAAUUUUAACAUAAAAACUCCAGAAAAAUUCAGAGUGAUAAUCGGCUGAAUUUUUGCAUUAAGAGGUCAGUUAGUUUGUUUGUUCCAUCGAAGCUUCAGAGUUCUUCUCCUUUGAUUGUUUGAAACUAGAAAAUUACUGCUCUUUUGAUUCUGGUGCCCUUUCAGUUAUUGCUUGAGGUUUCCGUUGGUUUUUCAAAUCUAUUCAUGGGUGUCUGUUGUUGCUUGAUAUUGGUUUACUGUUGUGGUUGCUGAACCUGUUGUUGCUGCGUUUUGUGCUACUUCCAUCACUGAUCUUCCUCCUCUUUCCUUGCUUUUCAGAAAUACCAGGUACACAUACUACACUUGCCUACAAUGUAGCUAGAACCUUUGAAGCAUCAAUAAAACAAGGGCCUUAAAGCUCGAAGUCAUCUAGUUUUUUUUUAUGUUAAGUUAUAUGUGUAUUAGUUAUUAGUUCAGUAAAAUAACGUGAGCAUCUAGAAAUGUAUGUAUAAGUAUUAAUCUGCAGUAGUUUAAAUCUACAAGUUCAAUCCCAUGUAUGCUAGCUAAAUAAAAAAACAAUGAAUUAGCAUGUCUAUUCUUCCAUUUCCAGUUCUCAUUUCAGUCAUAACAUAUUCAAGUGUAUGUUAGAUUCCAAGUUAAUCAAUAAGUAGCUGAGUUCUCUUAAUCAAUAAUUUGUGUAUUUGGACUCAAUAGAAAAGCAGGCUACGUUAGUUAACAACUUCUCUUUCUACCUGUUGUAAAUCUCAAAAGUAUAUACAGUAUAAUGUAGUUUAUGCCCAAACCAGUGUAUGAUGGCCUAGCCCCAAACCUUGCAUUAUUCACCGCUGGGGCUUGGGCCCAAAAAUGGCAAACACUGCCUCCUUACCCCCCUUCAUGUCUAAAUUAAUAUUGCGUUUAUAACUUAGUCGUAAUAAAUUCUAG